AGAGUUUGAUCAUGGCUCAGGACGAACGCUGGCGGCGUGCUUAACACAUGCAAGUCGAACGGUAAGGCCUUCGGGUACACGAGUGGCGAACGGGUGAGUAACACGUGGGUGAUCUGCCCUGCACUUCGGGAUAAGCCUGGGAAACUGGGUCUAAUACCGGAUAGGACCACGGUCUGCAUGGAUUGUGGUGGAAAGCUUUUGCGGUGUGGGAUGGGCCCGCGGCCUAUCAGCUUGUUGGUGGGGUGAUGGCCUACCAAGGCGACGACGGGUAGCCGGCCUGAGAGGGUGUCCGGCCACACUGGGACUGAGAUACGGCCCAGACUCCUACGGGAGGCAGCAGUGGGGAAUAUUGCACAAUGGGCGCAAGCCUGAUGCAGCGACGCCGCGUGGGGGAUGACGGCCUUCGGGUUGUAAACCUCUUUCAGCAUCGACGAAGCGCAAGUGACGGUAGAUGCAGAAGAAGCACCGGCCACUUACGUGCCAGCAGCCGCGGUA
This 495-nucleotide ribosomal RNA is filed under the name uncultured Actinomycetes bacterium. Its description in RNAcentral is "bacterial SSU rRNA". It matches the Rfam family "Bacterial small subunit ribosomal RNA", at positions 8 to 522 of the family's 1533-position model. The record is from RNAcentral. Lineage: Bacteria; Bacillati; Actinomycetota; Actinomycetes.